This 1200-nucleotide long non-coding RNA is filed under the name Numida meleagris (helmeted guineafowl). Its description in RNAcentral is "lncRNA (ENSNMEG00000020950.1)". Lineage: Eukaryota; Metazoa; Chordata; Aves; Galliformes; Numididae. The record is from RNAcentral.
AGAUGGGGCAUCCACAACCUCUCUGGGCAUCUUGUUCCACUGCAUCACCACCCUCUGAGUGAAAAACUUCUUCCUAAUAUCUAACCUAAACCUCCCCUGUCUUAGUUUAAAACCGUUCCCCCUUGUCCUAUCACUGUCUACCCUUGUAAACAGUCGUACCCCUUCCUGUUUUUACGCUUCCUUCAAGUAUUGGAAGGCCACAAUGAGGUCUCCCUGGGGCUUUCUUUUCCUGAAGCUUAACAAGCCCAGUUCCCUCAACCUUUCUUCAUAGGAGAGGUGCUCCAGCCCUCUGAUCAUUUUGAUUGCCCUCCUCUGGACCCAUUCCAAGAGCUCAGUGUCUUUCUUGUGCUGGGGGACGCAGGCCUGGACACAGUACUCCAGAUGGGGCCUCACAGGAGCUGAGUAGAGGGGGACAAUCACCUCCCUCUCCCUGCUGGCCACUCCUCUUUUAAUGCAACCCAGAACGUAGUUGGCCUUCCAGGGUGCUGAUUGUAAAAAGUGGAUGAAAGUUCAACUUGCACACGAAGCAAUGAAGAUUCAGGAUACCUGUGCCAGCCUACAACAGAGAUGUAGAAUUAUCCUUUCCUUGUUCACUGUAUUUAAAAGACAAAUGAGAACAAGAGUGAGGAACCAGGACUCUUUAGUCUGAUUUUGAGAAUAAUGCUGAAGUAUUCUGCUGAAGUGUGAAUCUUGGUCCCAAGGAUGCUCAGCUAUGUGAUUUUGUAAUUGUCCAUCAGCAUAAGACAGUGAUCUACCAGGUGAGCCAAUAUUUCAGAGCUGAAUUCGAAGAUCUCUGUUGUACUUGCAUAUUGUACUUAGACAUCUGAAGGGCAACUGAGCACCUACGUUGGUGUGUUGCUAAUAUAGAAACAAUGGCUACCAUCACCAUGUCCAACUCCUCAGAUUGGUACUGGGAGGCAGGCUUCUUCCCUGGAAUCCAAGAGGUUUGUCUCCAGACAAAUAUCAAUCAGUAGAGAUUUUCACUGGUAGCUCAUGCAUACCUUUGGGACUUAUUGGUUUAUAGCCAAGGAUCAAACAGAAGGAAAAGCACUGGGAAAACCCAUUCAAUUAAUGUUUUUAGAUGUUUAAUGGAUGCAAAACCUCAAAAGUUACAGAUAUUUAGACACUGCAGAUUCUAAAUCCAUUCUGUCCCUGAAAGCCUUUCAGAAAUUAAUGAAAUAAAAAGGACCUUGAGGUGCA